AAAUGUGGGAAAUUAGAAAACACAGUAUGGGAUAGCUGUAUUAUUUAGGACAGGGGCGCUCCAGUCCAGUCCAGUCCAGUCCUCUGCCAUCCUGCCACUUUCAGAUGCUUCUCUUCUGCAGCACCAGAAUCGAAUGAUCCGCUCCUUACCAGGCCUCAGCAGAGCUCAAUGUCAGCCGGAGAGGGAAUUCAGGAAUUUCAUUUGGGUGCAUUGGAGCACGGAUGGAUAUAAAAGUUGCAGAGUGGUAGCUCUGGACCACUGGAGUUGGACUCCCCUGAUUUAGGAUGUAAAUAACACUGUGAGGGUGAUUUAAUCAAAGGGAGGAAAGGAAUUGUACCUUUUUUUUUUCUCGACUCGAACGAUUUCAUUCGUAUGCCCGACGAGCUCCGUUCUUGUUUGUCUUUUUAGCUUACGUUUGAAGCGAUCGAUAAACCAAGCUAAACUAAAGGCAUACCCUCAGCAUUCUCAAACAGCUAAUCUACUUGCCUGCUGAUGAAGAAAGAAGCCUGUUCAGAGGGUUUGGCCUCCUCUAAAGCUCCCUCCUUAUUUCCCGACAGCGCCGUUCGUCUUUCCAGCUGCCUUUUUGCCAGUCAGCUCUCUGCCUCACUCCACUCCCCCACUUCUCCCGCCGUUGAGAAGACGCCAGGCCACGACUGUCCUGCAUGCCAUGUCUACUGGAUGUGUGAACAAAGCUGGGAGAAAGCGAGAGAGAGGGAGAGAGGUGAAAACGGCGACUCUUAAGUGAGUCAGACCCAGUCGCGCGGGACGGCUGGAAAUGUCUUCCCCUUUGAUUCCCCGGGGAACAGAGACAGAAAACAAAUGGAGUCUGACUCCCUCAUUUUCUCCAAGGUCCCAGAAGUUGACCCGCAGCCACACGUCCCGGAGCGCUGACAUUCGCCGAGCCACCAGUAAGGUCUGUCAACCUGACACAACGGAAUAAGAAACCCUCCCAAAAGCCCUCCGCUGCUCCGCCGCCGCCCCAUCGUCCCUCAUCUCCAUUCCAACACAGUACGCAGUGCUCAGUGGCACAGCUGACAGCCAAGUUGGCCUGCUCACACAGCGAUGACCCAGUGAGUAAUUGGUCGAUAGAAGUCGGCAUGCAUCGGCCUAUGUGGCUUCGCGGGCGGGCGCUGACUCACUGUGUGUUCGGCCUCAGUCGUCAUACCGCGGAUAUCAACGCCCACUCCGAGGAAAACAACGAAUCCCGAGGGAUGAGAUGAUCAUUAGCGGAGAAGUAAAAAUAUCCCGUGAAUAAUCACUGCAACUACAACGCGUUUAUCUCGCCGCUGAGGGGAUAUGUGUACACAACAAGAACAUUAUCUGUCUGCGGUGUGGCUUGCCAGCGAGCUCGGCCCAUUUGGCCGCGAGCAGACAGAAGAGUUUGGCAACUGGUUAUCACAUCACUGCAUCUCGACAACUGGAUGGCCGCUGAUUGUGGCCGAUGAACAAAGGAUUCCCGCUUUAACACAUUAGACCAUUAAGUCGAAAAUCCGUGUCGUGUCAGUAAUCCAGACACUAAGGAGGGUGGACAGGAGGAGAGCGAGCAGCUACAGCGCGAUGCAACAACACCUGCUGUUCCCCGCUGAUUAUAUAAGCAGGGUUAUGUGGAGUGAGAAGCAGUGUGAGACGCAUUGUCAAUGCAAAGAAACCUGACAUCCAAACACAAGAUGGCAUCUCAUCAAAGCCGUUUCUUGAUUUGCAUAGAGAAGCCUUUGACUUGGCACAUGCCUGGUGAUUGGGAUAAACUCGUCGUGGACGACAGAAGAGGGGAAGAAAAGCAGCAGAGGUGCCGAGGCCGGGAAUCGAACAGCCGCUCCGGCGUCUAAAGGCCUGUCUUCGCUCCAUCUCCUCACCGUCCCAUGAUAUUUUUCUACAGUAAAAUUCUGCUUAUGAUUUUGUCACGAUUUUAAAGGAAUUUAAAAAAACUACUUUUAACAGAGCCA
This is a long non-coding RNA of Poecilia latipinna (sailfin molly), 1943 nucleotides long. RefSeq lists it as uncharacterized. NCBI's taxonomy places the organism in Eukaryota, Metazoa, Chordata, Actinopteri, Cyprinodontiformes, Poeciliidae. The transcript has 3 exons. The record is from RefSeq and is a predicted model, not a curated record.